RNAcentral lists this ribosomal RNA (112 nucleotides) under Pteropus alecto (black flying fox). Lineage: Eukaryota; Metazoa; Chordata; Mammalia; Chiroptera; Pteropodidae. The record is from RNAcentral.
GUCUCCGGCCAUGCCAACCAUCUGAUCCCAUCCGAUCUCGGAAGCUAAGCAGGGUCGGGCCUGGUUAGUACUUGGAUAGGAGACCACCUAGGAAGACCACGUGCUGUAGGCA